RNAcentral lists this ribosomal RNA (486 nucleotides) under uncultured bacterium. RNAcentral's name for it is "partial 16S ribosomal RNA". It matches the Rfam family "Bacterial small subunit ribosomal RNA", at positions 30 to 507 of the family's 1533-position model. The record is from RNAcentral.
AUUGAACGCUGGCGGCAUGCCUUACACAUGCAAGUCGAACGGCAGCACGGGUGCUUGCCCCUGGUGGCGAGUGGCGAACGGGUGAGUAAUACAUCGGAACAUGUCCUGUAGUGGGGGAUAGCCCGGCGAAAGCCGGAUUAAUACCGCAUACGAUCUACGGAUGAAAGCGGGGGACCUUCGGGCCUCGCGCUAUCGGGUUGGCCGAUGGCUGAUUAGCUAGUUGGUGGGGUAAAGGCCUACCAAGGCGACGAUCAGCAGCUGGUCUGAGAGGACGACCAGCCACACUGGGACUGAGACACGGCCCAGACUCCUACGGGAGGCAGCAGUGGGGAAUUUUGGACAAUGGGCGAAAGCCUGAUCCAGCAAUGCCGCGUGUGUGAAGAAGGCCUUCGGGUUGUAAAGCACUUUUGUCCGGAAAGAAAUCCUUGGCCCUAAUACGGUCGGGGGAUGACGGUACCGGAAGAAUAAGCACCGGCUAACUACGUG